This 441-nucleotide ribosomal RNA is filed under the name Cemophora coccinea (scarlet snake). RNAcentral describes it as "partial 16S ribosomal RNA". It matches the Rfam family "Bacterial large subunit ribosomal RNA", at positions 1858 to 2608 of the family's 2925-position model. The record is from RNAcentral. Lineage: Eukaryota; Metazoa; Chordata; Lepidosauria; Squamata; Colubridae.
CCUGCCCAGUGAAUAAUUAAACGGCCGCGGUACCCUAACCGUGCAAAGGUAGCGUAAUCAUUUGUCUACUAAUUAUAGACCUGUAUGAAAGGCAAAAUGAGGAUUUAACUGUCUCUUAUAAUAAAUCAAUUAAACUGAUCUCCUAGUAAAAAAGCUAGAAUAAUAACAUAAGACCAGAAGACCCUGUGAAGCUUAAAUCAAACUAUUAAACCAUAUAAUAACUACUUUCGGUUGGGGCGACCUUGGAAAAAAAAAGAACUUCCAAGACCCAGCACAGCUGAUAAUUGAACCAAGUUACUCCAGGGAUAACAGCGCAAUCUUCUUCAAGAGCCCAUAUCAAAAAGAAGGUUUACGACCUCGAUGUUGGAUCAGGACAUCCUAAUGGUGCAGCCGCUAUUAAGGGUUCGUUUGUUCAACGAUUAACAGUCCUACGUGAUCUGA